RNAcentral lists this ribosomal RNA (352 nucleotides) under Hastula albula. RNAcentral's name for it is "partial 12S ribosomal RNA". The record is from RNAcentral. Lineage: Eukaryota; Metazoa; Mollusca; Gastropoda; Neogastropoda; Terebridae.
CUACCAGAGUACUAUGAAUGAAUAAAAAUUUAAAACUCAAAGGACUUGGCGGUGUCUUAGACCAUUUAGGGGAACCUGUCUCGUAAUCGACAGUCCACGUUAUACCUGACCUUUCUUUGUAAAGCAGUUUGUAUACCGUUGUCGUCAGGUAACUUUUUAGAAAAAUGAAGUUAGCAAUAUAAAUAAAUUAUUUGGGACGUCAAAUCAAGGUGCAGCUAAUGGAAAGGAGAGGAUGGGUUACAAUUAUUUAAUUUAUAAUUUUACGGAUAUAGUUAUAGAAAAAUUCUAUGUAAGGAGGACUUAAAAGUAAAUUGAUAUAUAAAGACAAUUUGAAUAAGGCUCUGAGACGUGU